Molecule: long non-coding RNA, 659 nt
Organism: Canis lupus familiaris (dog)
Lineage: Eukaryota; Metazoa; Chordata; Mammalia; Carnivora; Canidae
Exons: 2
Source: RefSeq, a predicted model, not a curated record
GGCCGGGCCGGGCAGGGCAGGGGCCGCAUGCGGGGCCGGGCGGGGGCCGCGCGCGGAGGCACUUACGGUUCGGGCGGUGGGCGAGAGCGAUCCGUUGGGGAGAGACGAUUUGACAUCAGCUAAAUCCCUCUCCGCCGAGGAGUUUUCGGAGCUCUUCUCCUCCUGCUCGCCCUCGUCUUUGAAGGAAAUCAGUUCGUCGUUGGCGCCUAGGUCAUCUCCUCCACCGCCGUUCAGCUGCGGCAUUUUUUUUUUCACCCACGAGCAGCAAUUUUGGAAGAAAAAUGAAGGGAGGAAGAAAAGCCAAAAAAAAAAAAAAAUAAUGAUAAUAAUAAUACCCCCGAAAAAGUUUUGCUUCCCUCCCCCCCCCAAAAAAAAAAAAAAAAAAAAAAAAACGUUGCAAGAAAAAGACGAGUCCAAGGUGAACUUUUUUUUUUUUUUUCCUCCUGCUUUGGGGUCUUUUUCUUCUGGGGAGGGGAAAGAGGGAGAAGGGGAGGGGAAAAGGGGGGGAGAUCUUCUGCACGCGUGAGUUUGGGUUUCUUUUUUCUCUCGUUCCCAAGGAUCCGAUCAAUGUGCAAAAAAAUAAUAAAUAAAAAAGGGGGGUAAAAAAAAAAAAAACACACCAACAACAACAAGAAGUCAGAUAUAAAGAGCAAGGGGGG